CAGCAGAGCACGUCGCUUCAACCUUACGACACUUCACGACGCGCCUCACACUCACGGGGCCGCACAAAAAGGAGUGCUCUGACGUCCUCUGUUGGCUACAUUGCUGAAUUGAACUGUCCACUCGAUAUCCUCUUGUUCAUCAUAGGCCUGUUCCUGCUUCAUAGACACGUUCUAGGCUAUUACUACAUGGCAACCGGUGGAUAAACUUGGCCGCUCUUGAAUUGUUCUGCAAUGUGUCGGCCUAUCCAGUAAGGAGGAAGUAUGUUGCACUCAUUUGUGUGUGGGCGAGAUCUUUUUCAUAACCAACAACUUUUAUACGCUAAUGCAUGUCUCUGUGAGUGUUUCCACAUGUUGAAAUUUAGUAGCACUUACAAUCGUUGUAAUCACCUAAUUUGAAUUUGAACUGAAUAUAUGAGUAGCCUACUAUUGAAAACAAAUUAUUUCAGGUAAUCUAAAAUACAGGAAUAUUUUCAUGGGGUUGAAUAAAAACGUAUUUGUGGGGGAUUGCAUUUGGAAAGUAUAAAAAUGAAACAUAAUGUUUUAUGUGAAUUUUCAACAAAUGUCCGGAUGUCUGGCUACAUACUUGAUCUUACAUGCUCACAGUUGGGGUGCAAAGGGAGAAUUUGCUGAGCAGCAAUCCAGGAGACCUCUCUUUCUCUCUCUCUCUCUCUCUCUCUUUCUCUCUCUCUCUCUCUCUUUCUCUUUUUAGGGAUCAAGCUCAUUCUGUCAGUCUGUGGUCUGUUUGUCAGUCUCUCUCACUUUUACCCCUCAUUGAUAUGUGCAUUUGUAUUGAUGAAAUGUCUGUUAACCAGCUAAAUCUAGGGCUGCUAUUAGCCGUCCAUUGUCUGUUUUGAAUAUAGAAAAAAAUAAAAUAAAUAAAUUAAAUAUUGGGAUAGGCCUCUAAUGGAAACACCAAACGUGCUGGCGUAACACUGGGUGACAAGGGCACCUUGGGUUUGCAGAUGUUCGCAUGGAUGACAGAUGGUGCUGGCGCGGCUCAGGGAGAGAUGGCAGGCCUUCUGCGCCAGCUUUGUGCCACCUGCACCCCCUCUUCAGCUCCCCGUCUAUCUACACAAUACCCCGACAGGGUGUGGCAUGGUGUGGCGGGCACUGUUGUUGUUUCCCUCUUAGCCACAGCUUCGCUGGAACGGAGGCAAGCUGAUUGCCUCAGUGUCCUACAGAGCCUCUGCACCCCGGCACUAACUGGAGCUCCAUGUGGUACAUCCAUUAUGGUAAAGCUCUCUGUGGCUCCCCGCUGAACACCUCCCUCCUCCUCCUCCUCCCUUUCCAAACCAUGCUUACGUCUGUGUUCCAGAAUUGGGCCCCCUUCCAAUCUGAACAUUAGUUGGAUUCGGUUUGAUGUGAUGGGCUGGGUUGGCGAUGUAUUUGUACUCCUGCAGGGGAGCACAGCAAACAAGGAGGAAUCUUUACCUCGGAUCAACGGCAGGGUCUCUGCACGGAGCCACUUCCAGGUGCCGUCUGGCCAUCCCCAUUGGCCUGACCGGGUCCACCUCUGAGGCUUUUCCCUGUGCGAGAGUUGUCUAGUACAGACAUAUGAACAUUUGGUCGGCAACUCCCAGCUUCCAGUUCAAUACUCGUGUGUUUAUGCCUGACAUUAAUUAGCUUUCUCCCUCUCCAUAAUUAAAUAAUCCUCAUGAAUGGGUAAUUGGAGCCCUCUGCAUGUACAGAGUCUUGUUCAUGCACAAGGACAGGAUGUAAAAUCAUUUCAACAGCAGAAAAAUCAAUAGCAUAAACAGCUGGGCCAACACACGUAUUACAAGGAAUUCUACUAUUUUAUAGUUUUAAGUCAACCCAUACAGGAAAACCGCUAUUUUUAGCACCAAUGUACGGUGCUAUUUCAUUUGACUUUGUCCUUGUUCUUCUUUCUCUCUGCAAAUAGAAGGGGCUUUGCCGCCAAAUCCUUGUAUGGUGCCAAAUCCAGAGGAAUGCAUUCCAUUGUUUAUCUAUGACUUGGGAAAACUAUAUUCUUUUGUUUACAGUAACGUGGUUUGGCUCCAUGCAAAUGCUGACUGUGCUUUUUAAAUGCUGCCAAAUGUUUUAGCGUCUCUCUCUCUCUCGUUCUCUCGCUGUGUGUGUGUGUGUGUGUGUGUGUGUGUGUGUUUGUGUGUGUGUGUGUGUGCGCGCAUCAUGCUUUUCUGUCCAUCUAUUAAUCAGAAUGAAAAGAGAGAGGGCUGACAUAACGAGUUGAAAUAGCAAAGAAAUUAAUAAUUCAGACAUUGAUGACAACAUUAUGUUUAUGGACAUGCCAAUGUGGCAAUGCACAUAGACAGACAGCAGACGGAACUGAGAAAUUUGAGAAAUGUGAAGGGUGGACAUACAUUUUGCAAACAUCUCGGUUAAUUUUGCAUGAACUAAUAGAAAAUGUGGAGGCAUUUAAAUAUUUGAUCACACGGCCAUAUGGAUAGGCUCACUGGGUACGCUCAAUGGGGUUAGCCCACAGUGCACAACCCAGAUAAUCCCAGCUCUCCUCCUCUCCAUAGGGCGCCAUGCACAGCGCACCAGCACAGCCCAACUACCCAUCAGCUCCUCCACCCCCCUGUGAGGGCCCAUUGUGUGCCAAAAGAUUUCCCACACAUCUGAACUCCUGAGAAUCAGCGUUGAGGAGGGACACGGCCAUGGUGACCUCGAUCCCAAAACUCCGUCACAGCUGAUACGAGCGGAACGAGAGGGUUGUCAAACCAGUCAUUUAUGUCAACACUGGAGGGCUAGCUCGGUUCACAGAUAUACACUACUCUUUUGACCAGGUUAUCACAGAAACAUGUUAACCGGGGAGGUAGACACAAACACAAGCAUGUUUUUUUUAUAUCAUUCAAAUAUAUUCACACAAGUGCAUUCAACCACUCCUCACAUCAAUUUCUUGUCUUUUUUAUUUAAUGAAUUAUCUGCUACGUUUGUCCCACCCACUCAGCAUGGAUAAACCUGUGCAUUCCUCAUCCUUCGGAUUUGGAGCGCUAACGAGGCCUAUUUGCCAGCGAGUGACGUUGAGUUGAUCCCUAAAGCUCUCUGCUUGGCACCAAACAUGCCCAAAUGAAGCCCAUGUCAUGCCCACCCCCGCCCUUGCCCCUCUCCUCCCCCUGCCAUGGGAACCAUACAUCUUUAAUGACGACGGAGGGCUUUGCACGCUCUGUGCCACACAAAAGCUGUGGCAUCUGUCUCACUAAGUACUGCACUCAAGAGCACAACCCCCCCUUCCCCCACCCCAACCCAAACCUCCACUCCAUUUGUUUCCAUCUCUCCUUC
Clupea harengus (Atlantic herring) is the source of this 3261-nucleotide long non-coding RNA. RefSeq lists it as uncharacterized. NCBI's taxonomy places the organism in Eukaryota, Metazoa, Chordata, Actinopteri, Clupeiformes, Clupeidae. The record is from RefSeq and is a predicted model, not a curated record. The transcript has 3 exons.